Molecule: ribosomal RNA, 362 nt
Filed under: Dactylopus dactylopus (fingered dragonet)
Lineage: Eukaryota; Metazoa; Chordata; Actinopteri; Syngnathiformes; Callionymidae
Description: partial 12S ribosomal RNA
Rfam family: Bacterial small subunit ribosomal RNA
Source: RNAcentral
UCUUUUGCUCUUCCCGCUUGUAUACCCCCGUCGUCAGCUUACCCUGUGAAGGUUUACUAGUAAGCAGAAUUGGCCUACUCCAGAACGUCAGGUAGAGGCGCAGUGUAUAGGAGGGGAAUAAAUGGGCUACAUUUACUAAUAUAGUAAACUACGGAAAGGGUACUGAAACCCGUACCCCAGAAGGAGGAUUUAGUAGUAAGGGAGGAACAGAGUGCCUCCCUGAAACUGGCCAUAAAGCGCGCACACACCGCCCGUCACUCUCCCCACAUAAUAUGUAUAUACUUAUUUUAAAACACUACCUUAUUAGCUUAGGGGAGGCAAGUCGUAACAUGGUAAGCGUACCGGAAGGUGCUCUUGGAAAA